UUGCACGUCUAAGCAGUAAGGCUGAGUAUUAGGCAAAUCCGGUACUCGUUAAGGCUGAGCUGUGAUGGGGAGAAGACAUUGUGUCUUCGAGUCGUUGAUUUCACACUGCCGAGAAAAGCCUCUAGAUAGAAAAUAGGUGCCCGUACCGCAAACCGACACAGGUAGUCAAGAUGAGAAUUCUAAGGUGAGCGAGCGAACUCUCGUUAAGGAACUCGGCAAAAUGACCCCGUAACUUCGGGAGAAGGGGUGCUCUUUAGGGUUAACGCCCAGAAGAGCCGCAGUGAAUAGGCCCAAGCGACUGUUUAUCAAAAACACAGGUCUCUGCUAAACCGUAAGGUGAUGUAUAGGGGCUGACGCCUGCCCGGUGCUGGAAGGUUAAGAGGAGUGGUUAGCUUCUGCGAAGCUACGAAUCGAAGCCCCAGUAAACGGCGGCCGUAACUAUAACGGUCCUAAGGUAGCGAAAUUCCUUGUCGGGUAAGUUCCGACCCGCACGAAAGGCGUAACGAUUUGGGCACUGUCUCAACGAGAGACUCGGUGAAAUCAUAGUACCUGUGAAGAUGCAGGUUACCCGCGACAGGACGGAAAGACCCCGUGGAGCUUUACUGUAGCCUGAUAUUGAAAUUCGGCACAGCUUGUACAGGAUAGGUAGGAGCCUUUGAAACGUGAGCGCUAGCUUACGUGGAGGCGCUGGUGGGAUACUACCCUAGCUGUGUUGGCUUUCUAACCCGCACCACUUAUCGUGGUGGGAGACAGUGUCAGGCGGGCAGUUUGACUGGGGCGGUCGCCUCCUAAAAGGUAACGGAGGCGCUCAAAGGUUCCCUCAGAAUGGUUGGAAAUCAUUCAUAGAGUGUAAAGGCAUAAGGGAGCUUGACUGCGAGACCUACAAGUCGAGCAGGGUCGAAAGACGGACUUAGUGAUCCGGUGGUUCCGCAUGGAAGGGCCAUCGCUCAACGGAUAAAAGCUACCCCGGGGAUAACAGGCUUAUCUCCCCCAAGAGUUCACAUCGACGGGGAGGUUUGGCACCUCGAUGUCGGCUCAUCGCAUCCUGGGGCUGUAGUCGGUCCCAAGGGUUGGGCUGUUCGCCCAUUAAAGCGGUACGCGAGCUGGGUUCAGAACGUCGUGAGACAGUUCGGUCCCUAUCCGUCGUGGGCGUAGGAAAUUUGAGAGGAGCUGUCCUUAGUACGAGAGGACCGGGAUGGACAUACCUCUGGUGUACCAGUUGUCGUGCCAACGGCAUAGCUGGGUAGCUAUGUGUGGACGGGAUAAGUGCUGAAAGCAUCUAAGCAUGAAGCCCCCCUCAAGAUGAGAUUUCCCAACUUCGGUUAUAAGAUCCCUCAAAGAUGAUGAGGUUAAUAGGUUCGAGGUGGAAGCAUGGUGACAUGUGGAGCUGACGAAUACUAAUCGAUCGAAGACUUAAUCAA
RNAcentral lists this ribosomal RNA (1421 nucleotides) under Staphylococcus aureus. RNAcentral's name for it is "partial 23S ribosomal RNA". It matches the Rfam family "Bacterial large subunit ribosomal RNA", at positions 1504 to 2925 of the family's 2925-position model. Lineage: Bacteria; Bacillati; Bacillota; Bacilli; Caryophanales; Staphylococcaceae. The record is from RNAcentral.